RNAcentral lists this ribosomal RNA (429 nucleotides) under Bacteroidota bacterium. RNAcentral describes it as "Bacteroidetes bacterium partial 16S ribosomal RNA". It matches the Rfam family "Bacterial small subunit ribosomal RNA", at positions 355 to 776 of the family's 1533-position model. The record is from RNAcentral. Lineage: Bacteria; Pseudomonadati; Bacteroidota.
UAGGGAAUCUUCCGCAAUGGACGCAAGUCUGACGGAGCAACGCCGCGUGAGUGAAGAAGGAUUUCGGUUCGUAAAACUCUGUUGUUAGAGAAGAACAGCGCAUAGAGUAACUGUUAUGCGUGUGACGGUAUCUAACCAGAAAGCCACGGCUAACUACGUGCCAGCAGCCGCGGUAAUACGUAGGUGGCAAGCGUUGUCCGGAUUUAUUGGGCGUAAAGCGAGCGCAGGCGGUCAAUUAAGUCUGAUGUGAAAGCCCCCGGCUCAACCGGGGAGGGUCAUUGGAAACUGGUUGACUUGAGUGCAGAAGAGGAGAGUGGAAGUCCAUGUGUAGCGGUGAAAUGCGUAGAUAUAUGGAGGAACACCAGUGGCGAAGGCGACUCUCUGGUCUGUAACUGACGCUGAGGCUCGAAAGCGUGGGUAGCAAACAGG